GACAGAGGAGGCGCGCGUUCUCCGGAGUCAUUGGGCGGAAAGGGUACGUAGGCGGCUAGUCAAGUCUGAGGUUAAAGACCACAGCUUAACUGUGGGAAGGCCUUGGAAACUGACUGGCUAGAGUGGGGCAGGGGUUGCGGGAAUUCCCGGUGUAGCGGUGAAAUGCGUAGAUAUCGGGAAGAACACCCGAGGCGAAAGCGCGCAACUGGGCCCUAACUGACGCUGAGGUACGAAAGCUAGGGGAGCGAAUGGG
RNAcentral lists this ribosomal RNA (253 nucleotides) under uncultured bacterium. RNAcentral describes it as "partial 16S ribosomal RNA". It matches the Rfam family "Bacterial small subunit ribosomal RNA", at positions 524 to 776 of the family's 1533-position model. The record is from RNAcentral.